This 230-nucleotide non-coding RNA is filed under the name Pestalotiopsis fici W106-1. RNAcentral describes it as "Eukaryotic small subunit ribosomal RNA". It matches the Rfam family "Eukaryotic small subunit ribosomal RNA", at positions 1417 to 1659 of the family's 1831-position model. Lineage: Eukaryota; Fungi; Ascomycota; Sordariomycetes; Amphisphaeriales; Sporocadaceae. The record is from Rfam by way of RNAcentral.
GGAUGGCGCACUGAAGUGGUGAAAGGUAUGAGGAUGUGAGAGAAGUAUGCUGCCAUUGGCAACUGCUGUGUUGCACUGACGGAGGCAGCAAGUACCCCCUUCACAGAGAUGCCGGGUAAUCUUGUUGAACUCCGUCGCGAUUGGGAUAGAGCAUUGAAAGCAUUGCUCUUCAACGAAGAAUCCCUAGUAAGUGCAAGCCAUCAGCUUGGGUUGAUUACGUCCCUGCUCUC